This 77-nucleotide transfer RNA is filed under the name Streptomyces sp. XY332. Its description in RNAcentral is "tRNA-Trp". It matches the Rfam family "tRNA". From Rfam's summary of the family: Transfer RNA (tRNA) molecules are approximately 80 nucleotides in length. The record is from RNAcentral. Lineage: Bacteria; Bacillati; Actinomycetota; Actinomycetes; Kitasatosporales; Streptomycetaceae. RNAcentral also lists the same sequence under 2 other names.
AGGGGUGUAGCUCAGCUGGUCAGAGCGCUGGUCUCCAAAACCAGAUGUCGCAGGUUCGAAUCCUGCCGCCCCUGCAA